GAUGAACGCUAGCUACAGGCUUAACACAUGCAAGUCGAGGGGCAGCAUGGUCUUAGCUUGCUAAGGCCGAUGGCGACCGGCGCACGGGUGAGUAACACGUAUCCAACCUGCCGUCUACUCUUGGACAGCCUUCUGAAAGGAAGAUUAAUACAAGAUGGCAUCAUGAGUCCGCAUGUUCACAUGAUUAAAGGUAUUCCGGUAGACGAUGGGGAUGCGUUCCAUUAGAUAGUAGGCGGGGUAACGGCCCACCUAGUCUUCGAUGGAUAGGGGUUCUGAGAGGAAGGUCCCCCACAUUGGAACUGGGACACGGUCCAAACUCCUACGGGAGGCAGCAGUGAGGAAGAUUGGUCAAUGGGCGCAGGCCUGAACCAGCCAAGUAGCGUGAAGGAUGACUGCCCUAUGGGUUGUAAACUUCUUUUAUAAAGGAAUAAAGUCGGGUAUGUAUACCCGUUUGCAUGUACUUUAUGAAUAAGGAUCGGCUAACUCCGUG
Molecule: ribosomal RNA, 490 nt
Filed under: uncultured bacterium
Lineage: Bacteria
Description: partial 16S ribosomal RNA
Rfam family: Bacterial small subunit ribosomal RNA
Source: RNAcentral